AUGAUACUGAAUUGCUGAAGGUUCAGAUACUAAAUAAUGAAUUUCACCACCAAAAACACAACAACUUCUCCAAUCAUAAAAUAGCUCUCCCCUUCCAUAUUGAUUGUGCUUGUGCAACCAGAUGCAGAGAGCACAGUCUGCAUCCGUGCAAGGUGGAAGACCAUACAUGGGGGGGAGAAAAAUGUAUAAAAAUGAUUGGGAGCCACCUGCUUUUCUUUUUUUCCUUUGCUUUUUUUAAGCUAUAGAUAUCUGAUAAGAGAGGCGAAACAGAUGGGUGCCGAUGGCGGGUACCACUUUUUCCUCUCUCAUCUUUUUGUCGAAGCACUAAGAGUGGAGUUUGGUCUGAGGGAGGCGGAGGAGAAGAGAAAAAAAAUCUGAAAACUUUCCUUCACGGGACAUUUAAAGGAUCAGUGGAUACAUUUUACCUAACAUUCAUGGCAACAGUUGGAGUUUGCAUUGGGAAACGGAUAAAGACUUGCCACCAGUGCAGCCGGAGGAAGGAGAGAUGUUUGCAUGGUCAUGGUCCUGGCUUGUUGGACUGAGAGAGCCUGAGGGACCGGCCUUAACCUCAUCCAGAGGAUCAAACAGUAGAU
Molecule: long non-coding RNA, 593 nt
Organism: Acanthochromis polyacanthus (spiny chromis)
Lineage: Eukaryota; Metazoa; Chordata; Actinopteri; Pomacentridae
Exons: 3
Source: RefSeq, a predicted model, not a curated record